This 430-nucleotide ribosomal RNA is filed under the name uncultured bacterium. RNAcentral describes it as "partial 16S ribosomal RNA". It matches the Rfam family "Bacterial small subunit ribosomal RNA", at positions 29 to 507 of the family's 1533-position model. The record is from RNAcentral.
AACGAACGCUGGCGGCAGGCUUAACACAUGCAAGUCGAACGCCCGCAAGGGGAGUGGCAGACGGGUGAGUAACGCGUGGGAAUCUACCCAUCCCUACGGAAUAACGCAUGGAAACGUGUGCUAAUACCGUAUACGCCCUACGGGGGAAAGAUUUAUCGGGGAUGGAUGAGCCCGCGUUGGAUUAGCUAGUUGGUGGGGUAAAGGCCUACCAAGGCGACGAUCCAUAGCUGGUCUGAGAGGAUGAUCAGCCACAUUGGGACUGAGACACGGCCCAAACUCCUACGGGAGGCAGCAGUGGGGAAUAUUGGACAAUGGGCGCAAGCCUGAUCCAGCCAUGCCGCGUGAGUGAUGAAGGCCUUAGGGUUGUAAAGCUCUUUCACCGGAGAAGAUAAUGACGGUAUCCGGAGAAGAAGCCCCGGCUAACUUCGUG